CCAGACUCCUACGGGAGGCAGCAGUGGGGAAUAUUGCACAAUGGGGGAAACCCUGAUGCAGCGACGCCGCGUGAGUGAAGAAGUAUUUCGGUAUGUAAAGCUCUAUCAGCAGGGAAGAAAAUGACGGUACCUGACUAAGAAGCCCCGGCUAACUACGUGCCAGCAGCCGCGGUAAUACGUAGGGGGCAAGCGUUAUCCGGAUUUACUGGGUGUAAAGGGAGCGUAGACGGCAUGGCAAGUCAGAUGUGAAAGCCCGGGGCUCAACCCCGGGACUGCAUUUGAAACUGUCAGGCUGGAGUGCAGGAGAGGUAAGUGGAAUUCCUAGUGUAGCGGUGAAAUGCGUAGAUAUUAGGAGGAACACCAGUGGCGAAGGCGGCCUGCUGGACGACAACUGACGGUGAGGCGCGAAAGCGUGGGGAGCAAACAGGAUUAGAUACCCGGGUAC
Molecule: ribosomal RNA, 445 nt
Filed under: uncultured bacterium
Lineage: Bacteria
Description: bacterial SSU rRNA
Rfam family: Bacterial small subunit ribosomal RNA
Source: RNAcentral